GACAGCAGUCGCCGCGGUAAUACGAGGGGGGCAAGCGUUGUUCGGAAUUAUUGGGCGUAAAGGGUGCGUAGGCGGUUUGGCAAGUUUGGUGUGAAAUCUUCGGGCUCAACUCGAAGUCUGCAUCGAAAACUGCCGGGCUUGAGUAUGGGAGAGGUGAGUGGAAUUUCCGGUGUAGCGGUGAAAUGCGUAGAUAUCGGAAGGAACACCUGUGGCGAAAGCGGCUCACUGGACCAUAACUGACGCUGAUGCACGAAAGCUAGGGGAGCAAACAGGAUUAGAUACCCCUGUAGUCCCUGUCUCUUAUAC
This 306-nucleotide ribosomal RNA is filed under the name uncultured bacterium. RNAcentral's name for it is "partial 16S ribosomal RNA". It matches the Rfam family "Bacterial small subunit ribosomal RNA", at positions 507 to 807 of the family's 1533-position model. The record is from RNAcentral.